This is a long non-coding RNA of Mya arenaria, 1759 nucleotides long. RefSeq lists it as uncharacterized. Lineage: Eukaryota; Metazoa; Mollusca; Bivalvia; Myida; Myidae. The transcript has 4 exons. The record is from RefSeq and is a predicted model, not a curated record.
UGGCGGCGAUUAUGCGGAAAUGAAAUUGAAUGUUACUUCGAACACGUUCUUCUACAAAAUAACCUACCUGUAUUUAGUGCUAUUGCUUUAACAUCAAUCGAAGCAAAAAUGGCAUCAAUGUAUGCGUCUAAAAAUGUUAAAUUUAGAUGGAGACAAUCCAGAAAUGAGCUGCCAGGAAGUGAUCGAUUUCGGACACGAAGAUUGAGAAGUGCCUGGAUACAAGGCUAGUAUUGUUAACAUCAUCUGAUACAAUCAACUGGAACAAAGCUGAAAUGGCUGCCUGACCUGACUUAAAAAUUGGAUGGCAGUACAUCAGACUAGAAGAUUACAAGUAUUGAGGUGGACAAAAUGAAACCUGAGCUUACCAAAGCUGACAGAUUGCACAAGAAACACAUAAAUGCAGAUUGGAAGAUUCAUUCUCUGGAAAGUAGAAAAGGGCAUGUUACAUACUGUUAUCACUGCCAUGACAGAAACCAUAUUGAGGAGCUGGUCCACUUGUAGGAAGAAUUGCGCUAUUGGUUGGAGCAGCACUAUUACCCAGCCAUACACCAGCACUUAGUUUGUCAUAGGGAGCAUUUCUGAGCAGUUAUGGAGACCACUAACUAUGCAGUUGUUGCAGUGAAACUUGCACCAGUGUGUUUUCUGUGGAGAUAAAGAGAUAGUGUCCAGCAAUGAAGACCCAACUCAAGAUCUGACCUUGUAUGGCCAAUAUGAAAUAACUGUGUAAGGCCAAUAUGAAAUAACUGUGUGGGGAGAUAAAGAUAGUGUCCAGCAAUGAAGACCCAACUCAAGAUCUGACCUUGUAAGGCCAAUAUGAAAUAACUGUGUGGGAAAAUGGGAAAAACCUGCAGUCAGGAAUGCAUGGAAAUCAUCAAAAGAACAGUGUUAAAUUAAUCUUGAAUAACUUGACAUUGAUGUUGUUUGACAUAUUUAUUCAUGGUGCAGUGAAAACAUUCUUUUUUUCUCAUGGUUAUUUAAAUUUAGAAUUGAUAGGAGGGAACAUCACUAUGUAGUUUCAUGUUCAUAGUCAGAUCAAAACCCAUGUACAUGCCCAAAUGAGCAUUCGAAAAUAUCAAAAUGGUACUUGUUGUAUGUAGUGUAAGUUAAUUAACGUAAUAGACAAAAAUAUUUAAUCAAUUUCAAUUUAUUAUGCCCCUUUCAAAGAAGAGGAGUAUAUUGCUUUGCACAUGUUGGCCGCUACGUCCGUCUGUCUGACAGUACCCAAAGCUUUUCCGGGUGAUAACUCUACAAUUCCUAGACCUAUUGUCAAACUUGACAUGAAAGUUUGGUUUAACCAGUAGAUGACCCCUUUUGAUUUUAGGGGUAAUAUGGUCAAAGGUCACAGUGACCUUGAACAGGAAGGUGUCAAACCAUACAUCUGACUGAUAAGUUGACAAUGCCUGCACCUAUGGCCCUCAAACUCAACAUGGAGGCUAAGUCUGACUAUUAGAAGAUCCUAUUGAUUUAAGGGGCCAUUGGGUCAAAAGUCAAGGUCACAGUCACCUUGAAUGCUAAAAGGUUGUACUAAUAAUGACUGGACAAAGCCUGCACCCAUGGCCCUUGAACAACUUGACUUUGGGGUUGGGCCUGACCAGUAAGUGAGCCCUAUUGAUUUGUCACAGACCAUUGAACGCAAAAAGCUUGCCUGUGUGACAACUCGACAAAGUCUGCACCCAUGGCCUUCAAACUUGAAAUUUAGGUUUGGGGUGACCAGCAGAUGACCCCUUUGGAUUUGGAGGUCAAGGUCACAUCUCCAAUA